This 67-nucleotide transfer RNA is filed under the name Staphylinidae sp. BMNH 1274642. RNAcentral's name for it is "tRNA-Glu". It matches the Rfam family "tRNA". From Rfam's summary of the family: Transfer RNA (tRNA) molecules are approximately 80 nucleotides in length. Their secondary structure includes four short double-helical elements and three loops (D, anti-codon, and T loops). The record is from RNAcentral. Lineage: Eukaryota; Metazoa; Arthropoda; Insecta; Coleoptera; Staphylinidae.
GUUUGUAUAGUUUAAAAAAAAACAAUACAUUUUCAUUGUAUAAAUGAAACCUUUGUUUCUAUAAAUA